UACGGAGGGUGCAAGCGUUAAUCGGAUUUAUUGGGCGUAAAGGGCGCGUAGGCGGAAAUUGAAGUCAGGUGUGAAAUUUCGGGGCUCACCCCCGGAGCUGCAUUUGAAACUCUUUUUCUAGAGGGUAGGCGGAGAAAACGGAAUUCCACGUGUAGCGGUGAAAUGCGUAGAUAUGUGGAAGAACACCGGUGGCGAAGGCGGUUUUCUAGCUUAUUCCUGACGCUGAGGCGCGAAAGCAAGGGGAGCAAACAGG
RNAcentral lists this unclassified non-coding RNA (253 nucleotides) under uncultured Chlamydiales bacterium. Its description in RNAcentral is "contains 16S-23S intergenic spacer region". It matches the Rfam family "Bacterial small subunit ribosomal RNA", at positions 524 to 776 of the family's 1533-position model. The record is from RNAcentral. Lineage: Bacteria; Pseudomonadati; Chlamydiota; Chlamydiia; Chlamydiales.